UUAUCAUAAAAGGAAAUCUGACAGGGACGGGAUUCGAACCCGCGCAGUUACCUAUAGGUGCCUAAAACCUACCCCUUAGACCAACUCGGGCACCCUGCCUAAUAAUUGUCGUGUUGAAUAAGGUCAGAGAUGAGAUAAGAUAGAAAUUUAAUUGUUUUUGUUGAGAAGAUUUUGUGAUGGUUAAUUUUGAAAUUUUAGAUUUUAGGAUGAUAUUAUUCUCGAGUAUUAAUAUAGUUUUUUUUAACAGUAAGUAGAGAUGAUAGUA
This 265-nucleotide transfer RNA is filed under the name Cryptosporidium parvum. Lineage: Eukaryota; Apicomplexa; Conoidasida; Eucoccidiorida; Cryptosporidiidae. The record is from RNAcentral.